AAGAUUUGAAGUAGAACACUUUGGAAAGAGUGGCCAUAGACGGUGAUAGCCCGGUAUACGUAAGAAGCUUAGCGAGGCGAGUAUCCUGAGUAGUGCGGGACACGAGAAAUCCUGUAUGAAUCAGCCGGGACCAUCCGGUAAGGCUAAAUACUCCUGAGAGACCGAUAGAGAACCAGUACCGUGAGGGAAAGGUGAAAAGCACCCCGAACAGGGGAGUGAAAUAGUACCUGAAACCGUACGCCUACAAGCGGUUGGAGCCACUUCGUGUGGUGACAGCGUGCCUUUUGCAUAAUGAGCCUACGAGUUACUUCUUACUAGCCAGGUUAAGACUUUAAGGGUCGGAGCCGAAGCGAAAGCGAGUCUGAAUAGGGCGAAAUAGUUAGUAGGAGUAGACGCGAAACCAAGUGAUCUACCCAUGACCAGGUUGAAGCUGUGGUAACACACAGUGGAGGACCGAACCAGUUGACGUUGAAAAGUCUUUGGAUGAGUUGUGGGUAGGGGUGAAAGGCCAAUCAAACUUGGAAAUAGCUCGUACUCCCCGAAAUGCAUUUAGGUGCAGCCUUAUUUUAGUUUAGCAGAGGUAGAGCUACUGAUAGGACGCGAGGGCUUCAUCGCCUAUCAACUCCUGAUAAACUCCGAAUGCUGCUAAAUGAUGAAUAGGAGUGAGGGCAUGGGUGCUAAGGUCCAUGUCCAAGAGGGAAAGAACCCGGACCAUCAGCUAAGGUCCCCAAAUGUAUGUUAAGUUGACCAAACGCGGUUUUACUGCUUUGACAGCUAGGAUGUUGGCUUGGAAGCAGCCAUUCAUUUAAAGAGUGCGUAACAGCUCACUAGUCGAGCGGUAAUGCAUGGAUAAUAAUCGGGCAUAAACAUACUACCGAAGCUAUGGAUUUUGUACUAUGUACAGAGUGGUAGGGGAGCAUUCUAAACUGGGUUGAAGGUUAACUGUAAGGUUGACUGGACUGUUUAGAAAAGCAAAUGUAGGCAUAAGUAACGAUAAUGGGGGUGAGAAACCUCCACGCCGAAAGACCAAGGUUUCCUGAUCAACGCUAAUCGGAUCAGGGUUAGUCGGGACCUAACGCGAACCCGAAGGGGGUAGUGGAUGGAAAACAGGUUAAUAUUCCUGUACCUGUCAUACAAUAAAAGUGACGGAUCGGCCAGAUGUUUACGUACUGACGGAAUAGUACGUUGAGCCUAGUCUACGGACGAAGCGAAAACAAGUAACCGGUUCCAAGAAAAGCGAGUAUGACGGCUCGUACCGUAAACGGACACACGUAGUUGGGUUGAGUAUACUAAGGCGCUCGAGUGAUUCAUGGCUAAGGAACUAGGCAAAUUAACUCCGUAACUUCGGGAGAAGGAGUGCCUGCCAUUAAUUUGGUAGGCCGCAGAGAAAUGGCCCAGGCGACUGUUUAUCAAAAACACAUGGCUUUGCUAAAUCGAAAGAUGAUGUAUAAGGCCUGACACCUGCCCGGUGCCGGAAGGUUAAGUGGAGAUGUUAACUUCGGUGAAGCAUUGAAAUGAAGCCCCGGUAAACGGCGGCCGUAACUAUAACGGUCCUAAGGUAGCGAAAUUCCUUGUCGGGUAAGUUCCGACCUGCACGAAUGGUGCAACGAUCUGGGCACUGUCUCAGCCAUGAGCUCGGUGAAAUUGUAGUUCCGGUGAAGAUGCCGGAUACCCGCAACGGGACGGAAAGACCCCGUGAACCUUUACUGCAACUUAACGUUGGUUUUGGGUAAGUAAUGUGUAGGAUAGGACGGAGACUUUGAUGCUGCAUCGCCAGGUGUAGUUUAGUCGCCCUUGAAAUACGUCCCUUUGCUUAUCUGAGGCCUAACCCAUUUAUGGGGACACCGUUUGGUGGGUAGUUUGACUGGGGUGGUCGCCUCCAAAAGAGUAACGGAGGCUUCUAAAGGUGCGCUCAAGACGAUUGGUAACCGUCUGUAGAGCAUAAUGGUAUAAGCGCGCUUGACUGUGAGACCGACAAGUCGAUCAGGUACGAAAGUAGAGCAUAGUGAUCCGGUGGUUCCGCAUGGAAGGGCCAUCGCUCAAAGGAUAAAAGGUACUCCGGGGAUAACAGGCUGAUCGCUCCCAAGAGCUCAUAUCGACGGAGCGGUUUGGCACCUCGAUGUCGGCUCGUCACAUCCUGGG
This 2142-nucleotide ribosomal RNA is filed under the name invertebrate metagenome. RNAcentral describes it as "bacterial LSU rRNA". It matches the Rfam family "Bacterial large subunit ribosomal RNA", at positions 322 to 2551 of the family's 2925-position model. The record is from RNAcentral.